Molecule: ribosomal RNA, 513 nt
Filed under: Candida albicans
Lineage: Eukaryota; Fungi; Ascomycota; Pichiomycetes; Serinales; Debaryomycetaceae
Description: eukaryotic LSU rRNA
Rfam family: 5.8S ribosomal RNA (bases 145-298)
Source: RNAcentral
GCUUCAUGAGAUGCUUAUUGCACCACAUGUGUUUUUCUUUGAAACAAACUUGCUUUGGCGGUGGGCCCAGCCUGCCGCCAGAGGUCUAAACUUACAACCAAUUUUUUAUCAACUUGUCACACCAGAUUAUUACUUAAUAGUCAAAACUUUCAACAACGGAUCUCUUGGUUCUCGCAUCGAUGAAGAACGCAGCGAAAUGCGAUACGUAAUAUGAAUUGCAGAUAUUCGUGAAUCAUCGAAUCUUUGAACGCACAUUGCGCCCUCUGGUAUUCCGGAGGGCAUGCCUGUUUGAGCGUCGUUUCUCCCUCAAACCGCUGGGUUUGGUGUUGAGCAAUACGACUUGGGUUUGCUUGAAAGACGGUAGUGGUAAGGCGGGAUCGCUUUGACAAUGGCUUAGGUCUAACCAAAAACAUUGCUUGCGGCGGUAACGUCCACCACGUAUAUCUUCAAACUUUGACCUCAAAUCAGGUAGGACUACCCGCUGAACUUAAGCAUAUCAAAAGCGGGGAGGAA